This 496-nucleotide ribosomal RNA is filed under the name uncultured bacterium. RNAcentral's name for it is "partial 16S ribosomal RNA". It matches the Rfam family "Bacterial small subunit ribosomal RNA", at positions 28 to 507 of the family's 1533-position model. The record is from RNAcentral.
GAUGAACGCUGGCGGCGUGCCUAAUACAUGCAAGUCGAGCGAACGGACGAGAAGCUUGCUUCUCUGAUGUUAGCGGCGGACGGGUGAGUAACACGUGGAUAACCUACCUAUAGACUGGGAUAACUUCGGGAAACCGUAGCUAAUACCGGAUAAUAUUUUGAACCGCAUGGUUCAAAAGUGAAAGACGGUCUUGCUGUCACUUAUAGAUGGAUCCGCGCUGCAUUAGCUAGUUGGUAAGGUAACGGCUUACCAAGGCAACGAUGCAUAGCCGACCUGAGAGGGUGAUCGGCCACACUGGAACUGAGACACGGUCCAGACUCCUACGGGAGGCAGCAGUAGGGAAUCUUCCGCAAUGGGCGAAAGCCUGACGGAGCAACGCCGCGUGAGUGAUGAAGGUCUUCGGAUCGUAAAACUCUGUUAUUAGGGAAGAACAUAUGUGUAAGUAACUGUGCACAUCUUGACGGUACCUAAUCAGAAAGCCACGGCUAACUACGUG